Molecule: ribosomal RNA, 29 nt
Filed under: Candida albicans
Lineage: Eukaryota; Fungi; Ascomycota; Pichiomycetes; Serinales; Debaryomycetaceae
Description: partial 28S ribosomal RNA
Source: RNAcentral
UUGACCUCAAAUCAGGUAGACACCCGGCU